GUCAAAAAUCCUCAGUCUUCCCAUUCCUCCUCCUCCUCCUCCUUAGCACCUCCCACAUGCAACCCGCUGGCCCUGAACAUGAAAAACGAGUCACAUCCGAUCAAUAUACCCUCGUCGUGUGUCGCUCCAUCAAUGCCACCAUGAACCUCGCUCACCUCAUGCAUGCACUCAGUCCUUCCACUCCUUUGUGUUGAUUGGUGGAUGUGGAUAAAACAUGGAUUGAUUUUGGAUCAUGGAAGACUGGAAGUUGUUUUUGUUCUUUAUUUUGGUAUUUUUAUUUCUGCUUUAAUGGUGGAUGUUUUUGUUCUUGAUUUGGGUAUAUCAAUUUCUGCUUCAGUGCGUUUGAAUUAUUUUCUUUCAAUUUGUUUUAGUUCUUUAUUUUGUUAUGG
RNAcentral lists this unclassified non-coding RNA (389 nucleotides) under Hevea brasiliensis (rubber tree). Lineage: Eukaryota; Viridiplantae; Streptophyta; Magnoliopsida; Malpighiales; Euphorbiaceae. The record is from RNAcentral.